UCUCAAUUUAAAUAGUACCUUAAUUCAUUCCUAAGUUUAAUUCACAUCAAAACAUUUAAAACAUUAAUCGAUUAUCAUCCACACAUACACAUUAAUUAUGUGGAGCGCAUAUAAUAACUUAACAAGCCAUUUUCGCAUGGCUAUACAUAUAUACAUCACCAAAAAGAUACGUAAUUAACAUCAAAAGUCAAUCCUAUACAUGCCAUUAUCAAGGUUCAUUUACAAGAGUACCGAAAGGUUUAGAUAGUGUGGAUGACUUUGACUUUGGAUCUCCCGAGUCCGAUAGUUCACGAACAAAAUCUAUAAAACAGGGAAUGAAGGCAAAAAGAGUAAGCAUUUCGAUGCUUAGUAAGUCUUAAGUAAUGAAAUCAUUUAUAACUAAAGCAUAGCAUUCAUAAGGCUCAUCAUCUUUUUGACUAAAUGUAGUCAUGAUUAAAUAUACCCCUAUCGUUCAUACAUGUCAUCUUAAAUUUUUC
This 476-nucleotide long non-coding RNA is filed under the name Gossypium barbadense (sea-island cotton). RNAcentral's name for it is "long non-coding RNA (GBAR_LNC011865)". Lineage: Eukaryota; Viridiplantae; Streptophyta; Magnoliopsida; Malvales; Malvaceae. The record is from RNAcentral.